AUGAUGAAUCAGACAUUGGACUUCAUUGGCCAAAGAAACUACAUAGCAUCCUACACCAGAAAGAGGAGGAAAGAUCAAAGAACUCAGUCCAUCCCCUUCAGGUCAAGCCUGGAGACUGGAGGAGACAGAAGGGUCAUUGACAAGUGGAAAGUUUUGAGUCUUUUCCAUGGUGGUAGCAACCAUAGAAAAUUUAUUUUUGAUAUGGAUUCCAAUAGUUUGUAAAGGAAGACUACUUAAUAGCCUAGAAUUAAUCUUUGGUGGAGAAUAUGGAAAUACUUUAUAGAUCUCAGAAAUCAAUGAAGUAGAAAGGAGACCAUCAUCUGCAAAAUGUGCAAAGUAUAUGAGGCAGCAAAUUGUUUUUAAGCCCUACAUUAUCAAACACAUAUCUAGAGGCAAGUGAGGCAAGUUUGUCAAGUUCAUAAAGCAGAGAAAAGGAGUGUUUUGUAGUGUGCUGAAGGUGUGAGUUUGAAUAGCACAUCUGUUUCUGAUUUUUUUUUUCCCUUCACAAUUCCACCAUAUUGAGUAAGUGUUUACCUGAUUACUCAGGCUUCUACAUAUAAUUUUCCUGGGUCUGGUUUACUGUUAAUGCUUGAGUUGAUAGCUGUAUGGGUAAAAUUCUUAUUAAAUGAUAUCUUGAUUUCCAUGGCGUCCCCUCCUGUCCUUUAAUUCCUGUCUUUUUUUUUUUUUUUUUUUUUUUGAAACUUAUGAUGGCAGAUAUUCUUCAUCAUUCUCCUAAUUAUUUCUCACUAUUUUUAUAAAUAUCAACGUGCCAUCUGAUCAGCCUUCAACCUCAGCUGUAUUGGCCAGGAGACAAUUGCGUAUAACUAGUAGUUUGUGGUUUUUCUUUUUCAUUCUGUUGCUUUUCACAGGACUUUGCCAGGAGCACACCCAGAGCAAUUUAUUUAUUUAUUUAUUUUUAAUUUCUUCUUAAGUUUC
Molecule: long non-coding RNA, 936 nt
Filed under: Anas platyrhynchos platyrhynchos (common mallard)
Lineage: Eukaryota; Metazoa; Chordata; Aves; Anseriformes; Anatidae
Description: lncRNA (ENSAPLG00000023948.1)
Source: RNAcentral